UGGUGGUAGCUCAGUGGUUAAGACAUUUGCCUACUGAGCAGGAGGCCAUGAGUUCAAAUCCUGGCAUUGCCAA
Pangasianodon gigas (Mekong giant catfish) is the source of this 73-nucleotide non-coding RNA. NCBI's taxonomy places the organism in Eukaryota, Metazoa, Chordata, Actinopteri, Siluriformes, Pangasiidae. The record is from the annotation of a GenBank genome assembly.